CUAACCAGAAAGCCACGGCUAACUACGUGCCAGCAGCCGCGGUAAUACGUAGGUGGCAAGCGUUGUCCGGAAUUAUUGGGCGUAAAGCGCGCGCAGGCGGUCCUUUAAGUCUGAUGUGAAAGCCCACGGCUCAACCGUGGAGGGUCAUUGGAAACUGGGGGACUUGAGUGCAGAAGAGGAAAGCGGAAUUCCACGUGUAGCGGUGAAAUGCGUAGCAGAUGUGGAGGAACACCAGUGGCGAAGGCGGCUUUCUGGUCUGUAACUGACGCUGAGGCGCGAAAGCGUGCGGAGCAAACAGCAUUAGAUACCCUGGUAGUCCACGCCGUAAACGAUGAGUGCUAAGUGUUAGGGGGUUUCCGCCCCUUAGUGCUGCAGCUAACGCAUUAAGCACUCCGCCUGGGGAGUACGGCCGCAAGGCUGAAACUCAAAGGAAUUGACGGGGGCCCGCACAAGCGGUGGAGCAUGUGGUUUAAUUCGAAGCAACGCGAAGAACCUUACCAGGUCUUGACAUCCUGUGACGACUCCUAGAGAUAGGACGUUCCCCUUCGGGGGACAGAGCUACAGGUGCUGCA
RNAcentral lists this ribosomal RNA (572 nucleotides) under Bacillus sp. IDA3351. Its description in RNAcentral is "bacterial SSU rRNA". It matches the Rfam family "Bacterial small subunit ribosomal RNA", at positions 479 to 1045 of the family's 1533-position model. The record is from RNAcentral. Lineage: Bacteria; Bacillati; Bacillota; Bacilli; Caryophanales; Bacillaceae.